Molecule: long non-coding RNA, 737 nt
Organism: Lagenorhynchus albirostris (white-beaked dolphin)
Lineage: Eukaryota; Metazoa; Chordata; Mammalia; Artiodactyla; Delphinidae
Exons: 2
Source: RefSeq, a predicted model, not a curated record
AAGGUGGGGGGCCGUGGGUAGGCCAGAGGAAGGCCUAACCUUCCCCUAGGAGCCAGGCCAGAGAGGGCAUGGGCUGGGCCAGUAACCCCAUGCAGAGGGAAAUGGUGCUGGGCAGAUGUGUCAGUGAUUCUCAGAGGGACAGGGCAGGCUCUGAGGGAAGCCCAGCCCACACCCAAUGCCCCAGUCUCGGGAUCACAUGUGCUUGUCCAGAACUUGGAAUUCUCCUUGCCCCUUCCCUUCUGGCCCCAGGAUGUCUUGGAAUCCAAACAACUGCAGCAGACAUUCGCCAAACGUGUUACAGAGACCUGGGCAUAUUCAAGGCUCUGUGAUGGCCACCAAGGAGACGCAGGGUACAAAGAUGAAUGUACAAAGUCAUCCCCGGCCUCGAGGAGCUUCUGCUCACUUGGUCCAUGUUCUUUUACCAGCAAACAUUCCCUGAAGCACCUUAGGUGUUAGGCCCUGUGCUGGGCACUGCAGGGGUGUGGAUUCUGCCAUUCCACCCCCACCAAGGCGACUUCUGGACAGACUUGCAUCAGGAGAUGGGGCCCUGACCCACAGACAGCACAAUCAUGGACAAGUUGCUUCACCUCUCCAAGUCUCAGUUCUUCCAUCUGUAAAAUGGCUAUAACCCCGACCUGACAGGCUUGACAGGAGGAUUUAAGGAAAUCAUCUAUUUAAAAUGCCCAACACGAGGUCAGACAAACAAUCAAUGUUUCUUUAUAAAUUUAUUUAUUUUU